Molecule: transfer RNA, 53 nt
Filed under: Heterakis beramporia
Lineage: Eukaryota; Metazoa; Nematoda; Chromadorea; Rhabditida; Heterakidae
Description: tRNA-Ala
Source: RNAcentral
GGUUUUAGUUUAGAAAAAAUUUAUAUGUUGCAUAUAUAAGAGAGAUGACUCUA